UAACCUGCCUGUGAGAGGGGGAAAACAGCUGGAAACGGGUGCUAAUACCGCAUAAAAGCAUAAUAAUCGCAUGAUUGAUAUGCCAAAGAGAGAUCGCUCACAGAUGGACUCGCGUCUGAUUAGAUAGUUGGUAGGGUAAAGGCCUACCAAGUCUGCGAUCAGUAGCCGGACUGAGAGGUUGAACGGCCACAUUGGAACUGAGAGACGGUCCAG
This 213-nucleotide ribosomal RNA is filed under the name uncultured bacterium. RNAcentral describes it as "partial 16S ribosomal RNA". It matches the Rfam family "Bacterial small subunit ribosomal RNA", at positions 122 to 334 of the family's 1533-position model. The record is from RNAcentral.